UUGAUUUGUUGAUAUUGUGGCAGAUUAGUCAGAUCCUCCCUGUAGUGACGUCAUGUUAUUGGUAGCCUAUCUUCCCGCAGGGAGGUGUGUAUAAAUGGCUGUUUGGUGCGGGCCGGAUGUGCGUCAUCUGUUCUGUGCCUGCGCUCUUCCUGUUUACCGGCAUUCAACAGAGGUCUGUGGUUAAAACACAGCCGUUUGGGCAUUUUAACACCGCUUGUGUCAUUUUGUGGGGCUUUGCGUACACUGGAGAGUCUAUUGUAAACAACCGUUACGUGCGGUCUGGCUCGUUACACUGCCUAGUCCCAGCAUUCCCGUGUGUUUACCGUUUGAGUGGGGACAUCCAAUAUAUGCUGUUUGGCAUCUACUUCAUUUCUAUCCCGUGGAUACUGACGUCAGCUCUGCUUUCUGGUGUGGCAAACGGCUGCGUUAUUUGGUAUGUGUGUUUAUAUUUCCGAUUGCUGUUCAUAAACUAUAACUAGUUUACUAAUCGUCUUCUUAUCUGUUAGGGGCUAAGACUGUGCGUGCUGCAUUUCCCUACUACAUAUAGAAGCACGCUGCUGUUUUGUUCCUGCUGGAUUUGCUUUCGUUUCUUUUCUGUAUAUUUUUGUUGUGUGUUUUCAUCAUUUUGUCCUGGGUGAUUUAGCGCGGCCCGAUUUUGGAGUUGUUGGUUAAAACCUGCUCCUACUGUGACUGUAUUUUAAAGAUCUUUUCCUCGUACGUUGGGAAAUAACGAGUUCAAGGGCCGCGCUCAUUCAGAUAUUAUUUCUUCAUUUUCCCUUUGUGGUGUUUCUCAUUUUGGACUGGUUCAGAAUGCUGAGAUUUUCUCUUGGACAUUGUUGUCUUUAAAUUUAUUUUCCUUUUCCUUUUGUGGUAUUAUCUAGCUGUUUAAGCUAGAAUUUAUUUCUUUUCUUUAUGUUGGAAGGGUUUCUUUUGCUCCCCUGCAUUUAAUAAGUUUUUAUUGAUUAAUUUCUAUUGAUUUGAUUUAUUCUGUUUUGUAUUACAAUUACAGGAGCUGUGUGUCCGACGGCAGUGAGGCUUUCCUUCACCGUGUGCUGUGUUAUGCUGUGUGAGCACCACUGAUAAAAUCACGGGUAUUGGAGUGAGUGUGUGUGUGUGCACUUAUGUGUGUGUGUGCACUUAGUGUGAUUCUCCUCUUUUUGCUCCCUCUCUUAGCCCAUUUGAUGCCAAUAGGCUACAGCUCC
Molecule: long non-coding RNA, 1202 nt
Organism: Cyprinus carpio carpio
Lineage: Eukaryota; Metazoa; Chordata; Actinopteri; Cypriniformes; Cyprinidae
Source: Ensembl